RNAcentral lists this ribosomal RNA (434 nucleotides) under uncultured bacterium. Its description in RNAcentral is "partial 16S ribosomal RNA". It matches the Rfam family "Bacterial small subunit ribosomal RNA", at positions 29 to 507 of the family's 1533-position model. The record is from RNAcentral.
AGCGAACGCUGGCGGCAGGCCUAACACAUGCAAGUCGAACGAACCUUUCGGGGUUAGUGGCGGACGGGUGAGUAACACGUGGGAACGUGCCUUUAGGUUCGGAAUAACUCAGGGAAACUUGUGCUAAUACCGAAUGUGCCCUUCGGGGGAAAGAUUUAUCGCCUUUAGAGCGGCCCGCGUCUGAUUAGCUAGUUGGUUGAGGUAAUGGCUCACCAAGGCGACGAUCAGUAGCUGGUCUGAGAGGAUGAUUAGCCACAUUGGGACUGAGACACGGCCCAAACUCCUACGGGAGGCAGCAGUGGGGAAUCUUGCGCAAUGGGCGAAAGCCUGACGCAGCCAUGCCGCGUGAAUGAUGAAGGUCUUAGGAUUGUAAAAUUCUUUCACCGGGGACGAUAAUGACGGUACCCGGAGAAGAAGCCCCGGCUAACUUCGUG